GCCCCAGUAAACGGCGGCCGUAACUAUAACGGUCCUAAGGUAGCGAAAUUCCUUGUCGGGUAAGUUCCGACCUGCACGAAUGGUGUAACGAUUUGGGCACUGUCUCAACCACGGGCUCGGUGAAAUUGUGGUACCGGUGAAGACGCCGGUUACCCGCAUAUGGACGGAAAGACCCCGUGCACCUUUACUGCACCCUAAUAUUGGGUUCGGAUAAAGCAUGUGUAGCAUAGGUGGGAGGCUUUGAAACCGGGACGCUAGUUUCGGUGGAGCCAACAUUGAAAUACCACCCUUGUUUUAUUUGGAUUCUAACCUCGAUCCAUGAAUCUGGAUUAGGAACAGUGUUAGGCGGGUAGUUUGACUGGGGCGGUCGCCUCGACCGCAUUAUAAAUGAGGGGCGUUCGCAUGGUAACAUGCGUUUCAUAAUCUGGCUGUAUGCUGGAACAUCCGUUCACAAAUCCUUCAUAGUAAGAAUUUAGUGAUGUAGAAUCUGUUGGGACUCGUCUCAAUUAUAUUGAGGCAGUAAAACUUCAACAGUGCGGACAAUCAGCAGGGAAGUCUGCCGUCGGCGGACCCCUCAACGACUAUACGCCGGACCCCCAAUUUCGGGGGAUGAUAUAGUCUGAUCUUCAUAGCGAUAUGAAGUUCCGAUUUGAUCGGGAUUCCAAAGUCAACAAUAUAUAAACUCUUAAAACUAACAUGCAUUCACGUAAAAUUGAAAGAACUAAAUCAUCAUUGAAGUUAAGUGAUGAACAGCGUGAGGUUCUAGUUGGAUUACUUCUCGGAGAUGCUCAUUUAGAAACACAAAAUGAUGGCAAAACAUACAGAGCAAAAUUUGAAUACAGCAUUAAACAUAGAUUGUAUGCAAAUCAUCUGUAUGAAAUUUUUAGAGAGUGGGUUCUAACCCCUCCUCAAAUAAAGCAGGAUAAAACUCAUAAUAAUAUAUGGUUUCAGACUGUAAGCCAUGGUGCGUUUCGCUUCUAUGCACAUCAAUUCUAUGAUGGCAAGAAUAAAUGUGUUCCGAAAUUAAUUCAUCAUUAUCUUACUAAUAAAUCAGUUGCUUACUGGUUUAUGGAUGAUGGUUCAAUCAAAUCACAUGAAUCAAAAGGUGUUAUUUUCAACACCCAGUAUUUUGUUAAAAGAGAUGUGCAGCGGUUGAUAAAAUGUUUGCAAAAUUACUUCGACCUCGAAGCAAGCGUUCGCAAACAGAAAGAUGGACUUCAGAUUUACAUUUCCGGGAAAUCAUACGAACGAUUUCUUGAAAUAGUUUUUCCUUAUGUUCAUACAUCAAUGCACUACAAAAUUCCGGUCUGCAGAAGAAGCAGACAAGUUGACAGGAAAACAUAAUGCCUAAAAUGUAACGGAGGCUCUCAAAGGUUCCCUCAGCAUGGUUGGUAAUCAUGCGGCGAGUGUAAAGGCAAAAGGGAGCUUGACUGCGAGACUUACAAGUCGAGCAGGUGCGAAAGCAGGACUUAGUGAUCCGACGGUAGCGAGUGGAAGUGCCGUCGCUCAAAGGAUAAAAGGUACGCCGGGGAUAACAGGCUGAUCUUACCCAAGAGUUCAUAUCGACGGUAAGGUUUGGCACCUCGAUGUCGGCUCAUCGCAUCCUGGGGCUGAAGAAGGUCCCAAGGGUUUGGCUGUUCGCCAAUUAAAGCGGUACGUGAGCUGGGUUCAGAACGUCGUGAGACAGUUCGGUCCCUAUCCUAUGCGGGCGCAGGAUACUUGAGAAGGGUCGCUUCUAGUACGAGAGGACCGAAGUGAACGUACCUCUAGUGUACCAAUUGUCACGCCAGUGGCAUCGUUGGGUAGCUAUGUACGGUUGUGAUAAGCGCUGAAAGCAUCUAAGCACGAAACACGCUUCAAGAUUAGGUAUCCCUCUCCGCCUUUGGCGGAGACUAAAGACUCCUCGGAGAUUACGAGGUUGAUAGGCUGCAGGUAUAAGUCCCGUAAGGGAUUCAGCUGAGCAGUACUAAUAAGUCGUGCGGCUUAACCAUUAAUUUUUAUU
RNAcentral lists this ribosomal RNA (2002 nucleotides) under Ignavibacteria bacterium RIFOXYD12_FULL_36_8. RNAcentral's name for it is "bacterial LSU rRNA". It matches the Rfam family "Bacterial large subunit ribosomal RNA", at positions 1917 to 2925 of the family's 2925-position model. The record is from RNAcentral. Lineage: Bacteria; Pseudomonadati; Ignavibacteriota; Ignavibacteria.